This 77-nucleotide transfer RNA is filed under the name Leucobacter sp. G161. RNAcentral's name for it is "tRNA-Arg". It matches the Rfam family "tRNA". Rfam says of the family: Transfer RNA (tRNA) molecules are approximately 80 nucleotides in length. Lineage: Bacteria; Bacillati; Actinomycetota; Actinomycetes; Micrococcales; Microbacteriaceae. The record is from RNAcentral.
GCGCCCCUAGCUCAGCUGGAUAGAGCAUCUGACUACGGAUCAGAAGGUCAGGGGUUCGAAUCCCUUGGGGCGCACAA